Polypterus senegalus (gray bichir) is the source of this 1785-nucleotide long non-coding RNA. RefSeq lists it as uncharacterized. The transcript has 3 exons. Lineage: Eukaryota; Metazoa; Chordata; Cladistia; Polypteriformes; Polypteridae. The record is from RefSeq and is a predicted model, not a curated record.
GAGACCCCAAACAGAACUUAUGGAUCACUUUUCACAGAGGAAUUCUGAAACACAUCAUCAUGUCCACAUCAAGGUGAUGAAAUUCAGCAUAUAAACUUUAUCAGACCAGAGGGUAUCUGCGAUCAACAUGUCCGGAAGAAAACGACACAGCGCCGUAUGGGAGUUUUUCGAAUAAAAUGCUGAAAGCAACAGCAGUAAAUGCAUAGUGUUGGAGCAGGGUGCGUUGUAUGCUGUACAGAUUAAAGGUAUCCUGUAUUUACUCAACUUGAGUGGAUUUAAUUACAUUACAUGCACAUAUAUUUAAGCAUGAGCAGCAAAUAGCUCAGAAAGAAAAGGAAAAGGAAAGUGAAAAGGCUGUAAAAGUUUUGCCAAAGUCUACAUCUAAACUGGCCAAAAGUUCAUGGUACAGCCUGCUAGAGACUGACUUGGAACAGACAGGCGAAGGAACAGAUCUGCCAGGACCCAGCACAUCAGCUCCAACUGUGAGCAAAAGUGGGAGCGAACCUGCUAGUGAGGCAGGCAAGCAGAAUUUGUCGAUUCCAGGAGGAUUAUUGAGCUGAGCAUGGCCUCCUCAUCCCUGCUGUCAACUACAGCUAAUACACCCCCGUGAGUCAGCAGCAUUAACCCCAACUAGACUCACAACUCCUCCUACGGAGUACAGAGAAGACUGACACAAACUGCUGAAGGUAAUUCUUUCUGCACUCAUUGGGGGGACAUAAGUGAUAUAAAGAACGAUAUAAACAAGGAUAUAAGGGAUAUAAACAAAGAAAUAAAGGAAAUAAACAAGGAAAAUUACAAAGAGCUUCAGGAUAUAAAAGACCUGGAGAAAUGUUAAGUACUAACUUUAAGUACUAACUUUACUGCAACCUUUCAAGAAAUUCUAGAAAGAACUAAUGAAAAAAUACUGGAAAAUAUAAGCAAGUUUAAAAGUAAAAUUAAAGUACCUGGUGCUCAGCUUGAAGAUUUUAAGUAAAUGUUUACGACUCGUCUUGAAAUAGUCAAACAAUCAAAAUCCACUGCUAACGGAGAAGCAACAGCAGCAAAAUCAUAAUGCAAAGUGCUUGGUGACAAACUAACUGCACUGGAAGAUAGAUAUAGAAUGAAAACAUCAGAAUCGAAGGUCUCCCUUAAAAAUAUGAAAGUUCAAACCCAGUGAAGUUCAUAGCUAAAUUAUUCUCUAAAAUUACUAGAGAGGACUUCAAAUUGGACACCGUCAUCUCAGCAGCUUACAGUAUAUGCGGACCGAAUGCCUCAAAACUGAGAAACUCAAUUAUCUGUUUCGACAAACUACAGGUUAAAGAAAACUUGAUGUCGCUUUCAGACUGAAAGAGAUUAUAUCUGAAAAUAGUUUAAUUUGUAUUUUCCCAGAUUUCUUCUUUUCAAAUAGCUGCUAAAUGCAUCUCAUUCUACAGCAUUAAACAGUGCUUACGCAAAGCCGAAAUCUGAUAUAGUCUCUUGUUUCCUGCCAAACUGAAAGUGGUUUUUGAAGGUCACUUUAAAAUUUUUAGUUCUCUAGUUAAAGUAGAAAAGGAGCUAAGAAGAUUGAUCCCAAAAUAUUGUAUUUGGACCAUACCAUUAUAAGAUAUCUCAAUUUUAAUAUAUUCUACAUCGCUGCUUAGGGGCGGGCAUGGUUUACCGGGACUGAAAUGUGGUCUAGCCUCACUUGGGGAGGCAAAAAAAAAAAAUGGGGAUGUGAAAGAAAGAGAGCAAUGCCAUUUCUUAUUUAUCCCUUCUACCACAAUAAGUAUAAGUGGCAAAAUAACAAUAGGCUACAUAGCCACAAGA